UCGAUCAGAGACGGAUAUAGUUCAGCAUAAGUCAUCGGAAUUGGAUCAAAGGUGACCCUCUUCCUCUCAUAGCUGGUGCUGGCAUUGUUGUUGUUAUUUCGAGGCUGGUAGGCCUGCUGUUGCGGAUGCUGAUAUUGCUGAGUUUGCGAUUGUUGAUAAUGUUGAGCUUCCCUGAAAACAGGUGCUAUAUGAGCCACCUGAUGCUGAUUAUUGACUGGACGAGCAAUCUUCCUCUUCACAAAGGGUCUUCUUUUGACAUGGGAAGAC
This 267-nucleotide long non-coding RNA is filed under the name Lathyrus oleraceus (garden pea). RNAcentral's name for it is "Pisum sativum (pea) long non-coding RNA (PSAT_LNC027287)". The record is from RNAcentral. Lineage: Eukaryota; Viridiplantae; Streptophyta; Magnoliopsida; Fabales; Fabaceae.